RNAcentral lists this transfer RNA (91 nucleotides) under Geotrichum bryndzae. RNAcentral describes it as "tRNA-Asp". It matches the Rfam family "tRNA". From Rfam's summary of the family: Transfer RNA (tRNA) molecules are approximately 80 nucleotides in length. Their secondary structure includes four short double-helical elements and three loops (D, anti-codon, and T loops). Further hydrogen bonds mediate the characteristic L-shaped molecular structure. tRNAs have two regions of fundamental functional importance: the anti-codon, which is responsible for specific mRNA codon recognition, and the 3' end, to which the tRNAs corresponding amino acid is attached (by aminoacyl-tRNA synthetases). tRNAs cope with the degeneracy of the genetic code in two manners: having more than one tRNA (with a specific anti-codon) for a particular amino acid; and 'wobble' base-pairing, i.e. permitting non-standard base-pairing at the 3rd anti-codon position. RNAcentral also lists the same sequence under 1 other name. The record is from RNAcentral. Lineage: Eukaryota; Fungi; Ascomycota; Dipodascomycetes; Dipodascales; Dipodascaceae.
UCGGCAAUAGUUUAGUGGCUAGAAUUUCCGCCUGUCAAGUUCUGUUCGGAACAGCACGCGGGGGACCGGGGUUCAAUUCCCCGUUGCCGAG